This 354-nucleotide ribosomal RNA is filed under the name uncultured bacterium. RNAcentral's name for it is "bacterial SSU rRNA". It matches the Rfam family "Bacterial small subunit ribosomal RNA", at positions 1 to 334 of the family's 1533-position model. The record is from RNAcentral.
GUGAGUAGUUCAGAGUUUGAUCCUGGCUCAGGAUGAACGCUGGCGGCGUGCCUAACACAUGCAAGUCGAGCGAGAAACCUGUAAUUGACGCUUCGGUAGAUUUUACAGGCGGAAAGCGGCGGACGGGUGAGUAACGCGUAGGCAACCUGCCCCAUGCACAGGGAUAGCCUCGGGAAACCGGGAUUAAAACCUGAUGAUACCGCAUUGUCACAUGACGGAGCGGUCAAAGAUUUAUCGGCAUGGGAUGGGCCUGCGUCUGAUUAGUUAGUUGGUGGGGUAACGGCUCACCAAGGCAAUGAUCAGUAGCCGACCUGAGAGGGUGAUCGGCCACAUUGGAACUGAGACACGGUCCAA